AUACCUUUCUCGGCCUUUUGGCUAAGAUCAAGUGUAGUAUCUGUUCUUAUCAGUUUAAUAUCUGAUAUGUGGGCCAUGUGCCUACUUCGAUAUUAAAUUUAUUUUUUGUGGGGGAAGGCCCACUGCAGUGGCUUGCCACUGGGGCCCCCGCGCGUCGCCCAGCCGUUGCACUGCUGGCAGGGCCUGGCGCACCCCAA
This 197-nucleotide small nuclear RNA is filed under the name Dichanthelium oligosanthes. RNAcentral's name for it is "U2 spliceosomal RNA". It matches the Rfam family "U2 spliceosomal RNA". Rfam says of the family: U2 is a small nuclear RNA (snRNA) component of the spliceosome (involved in pre-mRNA splicing). Complementary binding between U2 snRNA (in an area lying towards the 5' end but 3' to hairpin I) and the branchpoint sequence (BPS) of the intron results the bulging out of an unpaired adenosine, on the BPS, which initiates a nucleophilic attack at the intronic 5' splice site, thus starting the first of two transesterification reactions that mediate splicing. Lineage: Eukaryota; Viridiplantae; Streptophyta; Magnoliopsida; Poales; Poaceae. The record is from Rfam by way of RNAcentral.